Molecule: ribosomal RNA, 406 nt
Filed under: uncultured bacterium
Lineage: Bacteria
Description: partial 16S ribosomal RNA
Rfam family: Bacterial small subunit ribosomal RNA
Source: RNAcentral
GAUGAACGCUAGCUACAGGCUUAACACAUGCAAGUCGAGGGACCGGCGCACGGGUGAGUAACACGUAUCCAACCUGCCCUUUACUCUGGGAUAGCCUUACGAAAGAAAGAUUAAUACCCGAUAUAAAGGAUGGUGAUGCGUUCCAUUAGGUGGUUGGUGAGGUAACGGCCAACCAAGACUUCGAUGGAUAGGGGUGCUGAGAGGAAGGUCCACCACAUUGGAAAUGAGGCACGGUCCAAACUCCUACGGGAGGCAGCAGUGAGGAAUAUUGGUCAAUGGGCGUUAGCCUGAACCAGCCAAGUAGCGUGAAGGAUGAAGGCUUAUGAGUCGUAAACUUCUUUUAUAUAAGAAUAUGUAUUAUAUGAAUAAGGAUCGGCUAACUCCGUGCCAGCAGCCGCGGUAAUUC